Molecule: long non-coding RNA, 517 nt
Organism: Paramisgurnus dabryanus
Lineage: Eukaryota; Metazoa; Chordata; Actinopteri; Cypriniformes; Cobitidae
Source: RefSeq, a predicted model, not a curated record
UUUGAGACCACUGAUCUAGAGGCAAUCAGGGGCCUAUUGCACAAAAGUAGAAUUAAGACAUCCAGGCUAAAUGGCUGAGCUGAGCUCAAUGAAGCCAAAACAAGUGCGCCCACGCUUAAUUGGUUGCACAAAGACCAAGCCAGGAUGAUCAGACACGGAUUCAUCAAGCCAGGUGAAACCAAUCCUGGAUAGGUGCGCGCUCACGGCUCACUCAACUAGACCCCGCCACCGAUCACAGAUUCACCGAUUCACCAUGGCAACUAGCAGCGUUCUUUUCCCCGUCAGAGGCACAAAUCCAUACGAGGAGGUAAAAGACAUAAUUAAGAAGAAAGGCAACACCGCCACAGUGGUAAAGCAGAGAGAAAAAGCGUGGCAAAGUAUUGCAGACCGCCUGAAUGCAUUAAAUAUGACCGGGCCAAAACGGACAUGGCAGCAGGUCAAAAUCAAAAUCUGCAGAAUGCAGUGAAAAAGAAUACCCAGAGACAAGGCAUGAGUGGUGGGUCACCAAAAGCUGACC